This 505-nucleotide ribosomal RNA is filed under the name uncultured bacterium. RNAcentral's name for it is "partial 16S ribosomal RNA". It matches the Rfam family "Bacterial small subunit ribosomal RNA", at positions 28 to 507 of the family's 1533-position model. The record is from RNAcentral.
GACGAACGCUGGCGGCGUGCCUAAUACAUGCAAGUAGAACGCACAGUUUAUACCGUAGCUUGCUACACCAUAGACUGUGAGUUGCGAACGGGUGAGUAACGCGUAGGUAACCUGCCUGGUAGCGGGGGAUAACUAUUGGAAACGAUAGCUAAUACCGCAUAAUAUUAAUUAUUGCAUGAUAAUUGAUUGAAAGAUGCAACUGCAUCACUACCAGAUGGACCUGCGUUGUAUUAGCUAGUAGGGGAGGUAACGGCCCACCUAGGCGACGAUACAUAGCCGACCUGAGAGGGUGAUCGGCCAAACUGGGACUGAGACACGGCCCAGACUCCUUAGGGAGGCAGCAGUAGGGAAUCUUCGGCAAUGGACGAAAGUCUGACCGAGCAACGCCGCGUGAGGGAAGAAGGGUGUCGGAUCGUAAAGGUCUGUUGUAAGAGAAGAACGGGUGUGAGAGUGGAAAGUUCACACUGUGACGGUAUCUUAACAGAAAGGGACGGCUAACUACGUG